AAUACUACUUAGCCAUUGCUGCAUUCGCAGCAACAGGAUGGAAUUGGAGACCAUUAUUCUAAGUGAAGUAACUCAGGAACGGAAACCCAAACAAUGUAUGUUCUUGCUUAUAAGUGGGAGCUAAGCUAUGAGGACGCAGAGGCAUAAGAAUGAUACACUGGACUUUGGGGACUCGAGGGAAAGUGUAGGGGGUGGUGAGGGAUAAAAGCCUACACAUUGAUUGGGUAGAGUGUACACUGCUUGGGUGAUGGGUGUACCAACAUCUCAGAAAGCACCACUGAAGGUGGUAACCCAACACCACCUGUUCCCCAAAAACUUAUUGAAAUGAAAAAAUAAAAUGCUGUGCAUAAUAAAUACAUAGAAUUUUU
RNAcentral lists this long non-coding RNA (368 nucleotides) under Homo sapiens (human). RNAcentral describes it as "non-protein coding lnc-RIN3-1:1". Lineage: Eukaryota; Metazoa; Chordata; Mammalia; Primates; Hominidae. The record is from RNAcentral.